Molecule: transfer RNA, 76 nt
Filed under: Oscillospiraceae bacterium
Lineage: Bacteria; Bacillati; Bacillota; Clostridia; Eubacteriales; Oscillospiraceae
Description: tRNA-Met
Rfam family: tRNA
About the family: Transfer RNA (tRNA) molecules are approximately 80 nucleotides in length. Their secondary structure includes four short double-helical elements and three loops (D, anti-codon, and T loops).
Source: RNAcentral
CGCGGAGUGGAGCAGUUGGUAGCUCGCCAGGCUCAUAACCUGGAGGUCGUAGGUUCAAGUCCUUCCUCCGCAACCA